This 497-nucleotide ribosomal RNA is filed under the name uncultured bacterium. Its description in RNAcentral is "partial 16S ribosomal RNA". It matches the Rfam family "Bacterial small subunit ribosomal RNA", at positions 28 to 507 of the family's 1533-position model. The record is from RNAcentral.
GAUGAACGCUGGCGGCGUGCCUAAUACAUGCAAGUCGAGCGAACGGACGAGAAGCUUGCUUCUCUGAUGUUAGCGGCGGACGGGUGAGUAACACGUGGAUAACCUACCUAUAAGACUGGGAUAACUUCGGGAAACCGGAGCUAAUACCGGAUAAUAUUUUGAACCGCAUGGUUCAAAAGUAAAAGACGGUCUUGCUGUCACUUAUAGAUGGAUCCGCGCUGCAUUAGCUAGUUGGUAAGGUAACGGCUUACCAAGGCAACGAUGCAUAGCCGACCUGAGAGGGUGAUCGGCCACACUGGAACUGAGACACGGUCCAGACUCCUACGGGAGGCAGCAGUAGGGAAUCUUCGGCAAUGGGCGAAAGCCUGACGGAGCAACGCCGCGUGAGUGAUGAAAGUCUUCGGAGCGUAAAACUCUGUUAUUAGGGAAGAACAUAUGUGUAAGUAACUGUGCACAUCUUGACGGUACCUAAUCAGAAAGCCACGGCUAACUACGUG